Molecule: ribosomal RNA, 300 nt
Filed under: uncultured Thermus sp.
Lineage: Bacteria; Thermotogati; Deinococcota; Deinococci; Thermales; Thermaceae
Description: bacterial SSU rRNA
Rfam family: Bacterial small subunit ribosomal RNA
Source: RNAcentral
GGGAAACCCGGGCGAGCGGCCGGGGGAAGACGGAGGAGGCAAGCGGUAUCCGGAAUUAUUGGGCGUAAAGCGGCCGUAGGUGGCUAGUCAAGUCUGCGGUCAAAGACUGGGGCUUAACCCUGGAAAGGCCGUGGAAACUGACGAGCUAGAGUGCAGUAGGGGUAGAGGGAAUUCCCGGUGUAGCGGUGAAAUGCGUAGAGCUCGGGAAGAACAUCGGUGGCGAAAGCGCUCUACUGGACUGCAACUGACACUCAGGGACGAAAGCUAGGGGAGCGAAUGGGAUUAGAUACCCUGGUAGUC